RNAcentral lists this long non-coding RNA (230 nucleotides) under Ananas comosus (pineapple). Its description in RNAcentral is "long non-coding RNA (ACOM_LNC036434)". Lineage: Eukaryota; Viridiplantae; Streptophyta; Magnoliopsida; Poales; Bromeliaceae. The record is from RNAcentral.
UUUACAUGUAUACCUAUUAAGUAAAUCAUUAACUUUAAACUUUGACCAACAUAUAUAUAUUUUCACCAAUCUUUCUUUAUAAAAAGUAAAUCAUCAACAUGUAUACCAGAUUUACAUGUAUACAUUUUGACCAAUCUUUCUCUAUAAAAAAAUAAAUCACCAAAUUUAAUCUUGACAAAAAAAAAUUUCUUCUUUUUAAACUUUUUUUUUCUCUAACUGUUCAGUAAGUA